UCCGUGUUUAUGCGUGUGUAGGUGUGUACAUUUAGCAAAAAAAAAAUAAAAACGGAAAACGGUUAGCGAUUUCGUCGAAGGAAAAAAGUAAUUCCUGUACGGUUGCUAGUAUUUCGCCAGCAGUCCAGCAGUGGUAAAAAGCACAACCGGUUUUCCUCAAAACGGUUCCUGGCGGCGAUCAAUGGUGGAAGUGCUGUUGCUGGAGUUCCGCAAGCAAUUCCUGGAAUCGCACCGGUCAAUGCGCUUUUCAGCAAACCAAAAAGCCGUUUCCUGUACGUGUUCCUGUCUGCGGUCGUAGUGCUGAUGCUCGGCCAGAAGUUCCUUACAUUUUUCUUAGCCGCUAUUCGGCUGCCGGCAAAACUGUUUCCGGCAUCGAAAUCGAUAAGAGAAUCGAUAGGGGAACGCAAGUCUUCCAUAUUUUCCUCAAUAACAGCGGCUUUAGUGCCUGUGGCGUGCAUCCUGGGAAAUUCAUUUUCAUCGGAAAAAAACGACGAAGGCCCGAUGGCAAGACGAAACUCACCGGCCGAGCUGCGAAAUGCUAAGAAUUCCCAUAGGAAACUCAAAAGGAUUGGGAAUUUUCUCCAAAGUGUUCCAAAGCUGAAUCUACAACAGCGGAAGGCUAUGCUUGCUGUUGGUUCGGAAAAUCAGAUAAGCGUCUGGAAGAAAGAAUUGCUUUGAACAAGCUCUGGUAACCUAAGCAACACAAAAUACCGAUCAUCAUGUCCUUUUACGAAAUGUCAAUUUCCAGCGGAUGCAGCAGCUUACCAAUGUUUUAAAUGGAAUCCUCAGGACGCCUUCAGUUAACAGCUUCCCGGUACGGUACCAAUCAGCAGAAGCUUUAAAGGAUAACAAUCUGUUAGGCAGACCUAUAAGAACAGCAUGAAUUGGACAGAAUCGUGGCGGCUUCAAAGAAUCACACAGGCUGAUCCGAAACCGAUGGCCAACUUUAAGCUGCUGGACGAAACUAAAAUAUAAUUCGAAAUAUCGAAAGUAUAGGAAUUGGUUGUGAGAAUGUGAUUUUUUUAAAUAAAGUAUAAGAAUGAAACAA
This is a long non-coding RNA of Uranotaenia lowii, 1048 nucleotides long. RefSeq lists it as uncharacterized. The record is from RefSeq and is a predicted model, not a curated record. The transcript is spliced from 4 exons. Lineage: Eukaryota; Metazoa; Arthropoda; Insecta; Diptera; Culicidae.